AGCAGCCGCGGUAAUUCCAGCUCCAAUAGCGUAUAUUAAAGUUGUUGCAGUUAAAAAGCUCGUAGUUGAAUUUCGGGGUUAGUAAGUUGGUCGUGCCACUGGUAUGCACUGGCUUUACUGAUUCCUCCCUCUUGUAGAGCCGUAAUGCCAUUAAUUUGGUGUUGCGGGGAAACAGGACUGUUACUUUGAAAAAAUUAGAGUGUUUAAAGCAGGCUAACGCCUGAAUACAUUAGCAUGGAAUAAUGAAAUAGGACGUCUGUCUUAUUUUGUUGGUUUCUAGGAUGGACGUAAUGAUUAAUAGGGAUAGUUGGGGGCAUUAGUAUUCAAUUGUCAGAGGUGAAAUUCUUGGAUUUAUUGAAGACUAACUACUGCGAAAGCAUUUGCCAAGGAUGUUUUCAUUAAUCAAGAAC
Molecule: ribosomal RNA, 410 nt
Filed under: uncultured Glomeromycotina
Lineage: Eukaryota; Fungi; Glomeromycota
Description: SSU rRNA
Rfam family: Eukaryotic small subunit ribosomal RNA
Source: RNAcentral